GCACGCUAAGUUCAUAAUAGCAUCCCUGGAGAGACAUAUAGUGCCAUAGGCUACAAAACUCAAGCACAACUGAGGUGCGAUAUAUGAUCUGAAUCUCGAGAGCCAUCCUGCUCAUAUAACAUCAUCUCUACACAGAACCACAACACAUAAGAAAUUCUCCAAACCGUCUCGCAACUCAUACGGUGCAAUAUAUCAUUACAUGAAAUAGUUGAUGACGAAAUAGUACCCCGACUACUUGUCCAAAGGAGCGCAUUGCUGAAAUGAACACAUCUGGCCUGAUAUAGAGCCCAUAUUCACAUUUAGAUCCAUCCACAGACCUCAAGCUUAUUGUGAUCACACUGAAAUAGGCUAAUAACCUUUCGAAGGUUCAUAAUAACUCCCUUUUUCUCAUAACACACGAGAACUACCAUCAUAACCAGGGCAAUCCUCCACGGUCCACAACCCAAUAACUCGAGUGCCCUCCAAGCAUAAAUUCUCAAAUUAAUGAUAUCACCACCGUCUUCAUACUUGGUUUAAAUCUUCAAUCAAUCAAGUGACUACAUGCCACACUUAUACAAUCUUCCUAUGGUGAACGCUCGCACGACCUUCCGUGACAGACAACAAGUAUGUGUAUCCAUACCACCAGCUGCACUAACGCUGAUAAAUUGUUCAAGAAUCCAUAAUCAGGAUGGAAGGCCUUUUUCACAAAACACCGAUCUCAGGUGACACUAAAGACGAUACACACUUACUUUAAACAUUGAAUGUCCUUUACUGCUCAUCUGAGCUCGUGACAUCCUUAUCAACACUGAACUGCAACCUUGAUCCUCACUUCAAAUUACAUACCACUCAUUGUACCCAACAUGCCAAUAUAUGAUACAACACGAUUUUCAUCAAAACUCCGUAACCACUAACAGAUUAACACUUCAUCAUAUAAAACUUUUCACUUAACUCACUUCAGGAGAACCAUAGCAACACACAGGUGAAUUCUCACAACCGUAGAAUAUGCAAAUCUCUAAGUAGUGGUCUAAGCCACCAUAGCCCUUCCGGGAUCAGCCUACACAUAACAGGCCAUAAUAGUGGAAUACUUCUGAAUAACGGCGGUUGACAAGCCUCGCACGUGUCAUCACAAAUCACUUGCAUAACUUGAUCACGUUGAAGGAACUGAUCACUACCAUCAAUAUGCCAAUUCAACUAUGGCUAACCAAUCUAUCUUCUUCCAAAUUAAUUCUUGAUUUCCUUAGAAAUAAUAAUAGCUCCAUUCAACACAUAACACACUCCAUCCGCACUCAUCUCGAGUGACCUUGAAUCACGAGACCAUGCUAUCUCAAAUCCACGAACUAUUUCAUACCUCCCAAAUCUUACACUGCAUGUCAAAACAUCAUAGAACAUUCCGUGCCUCUUCUCAUAAGCUGCUACAAAGCUUGAUUCUUAACCGUACCUAUAGGCUCGCAAUCAUUAGGCACCACACAUUGCCCCUUUAAAUCCACUAGGACCGUUGUUGAGAGCCACCCGCUCUGACUUGGCCCCGAAUAUAAUCAACUCCAUGAAUCUUCUAGCACAUGAAUACCCUCUUGACGAAGCACCCAGCAGAAUCACUUCCCUUGAAACCCGCAUCUAUACAAGGCAUAAAUCCUGAAUCCUUCCCCAAAUUUGAACAUGAGCAAAUAAGGCCAACCAUAGCAUACCUUUAACAAUUCCUUUGCUCAAAUUACCACUUAGCUUGAAGCCACUAUUACACAACUCUGAAAUUCAUCAGGAUUCUUUAUCUUUUAUUGACAUAACCUUGCAAAAUCAACCGCCAUAAUUCUCGAAAUCUUUCUGUAAAACCCCUUUUUAUACUCUGAAUCAUCAACCACAUUCGCAUGACCGAUCUCUUUGUUUUAUAACCAAUAGAAUUCUUUGCAGAAGCUUCGCCAACUAUGCAACCGUCGAUCUUCUCUCUGGUGAUAACCCGCAUGUGGAAUUUACGUGCUGACAUCUUCCAACGCUACUGCACGGGGUAUAAUCACUACGACAUCAAUAACCCAUCCUGAGUCCGAGCUCACUCUCUAACUGCACAAGUCCAUUCACCCCUCAUGGACAUCAAUUAAAUGUGACGCAACAUCCUUCCAAUUCAAAGGUACAUUGUAUCCUUCUUCAUUUCAAGUAGCUCCUUUCCGUUAUAUCAAAUCUCCUGCCGCAUAAUAGCCUAUACUUCAAAUUAGAUCUGUAGACCCCAAUCAUCAAUCACUAAAAUUCCCAAGUUGUUCCAAACUCUCUUUAUGGUGUGUAGUCAUCCUAAUACAAAGCCCAUAUGCAACUCCUCCACUCUCCCACUUUGGCGGAACUCACCCCUCUAAUCGACCACUCGACCUUUGCUUCUUAUACCUAGCCUUCUAGAAAUUUUAACCACCGCUUGACAUUCCCCACACGUCCUUCCUCAUCCUUUGCUGGCCAGUUGUUGCCUUAACAAAAUAUACCUUCGUAGCACUUGAACCCACAAAUCGCUACUAAAUUUAAACCUUUCUGUAGAUCAUCUUUCUCGAGCCGUCGACAUUAGAAACACUGAUUCAAUCCUAAACCACCACACCCCGCGAUAUCCAACCAUAGUUUCUCCAAUAUUAUUUCACAAUAUCCUACCCCAAGGGCGAAUUGCAGAAAAUCAUAACACCGGUGAACUUAACACAUACAAUCAAGGACGACGACACUACAUCGCAGAUAAAAAUUCCACCACGCUCAAAAUUACCAAGUCUUAUUACUCUAUCACCCCAAAUCUGGACAUUCAUAUGCCAAUUGCUUUUCCUUCGCUGGAAGUGAAAUAUCAUAUCUCUGAAUCGUGCACUGAGUAGAUUUCCUUUCAACUCAUUCACCGCCCCAACACAUAGGCAUGUCUCCUACUGUCAAGUCAAUACUAUGCGAUAACCAAUCGCGAGCAUCAUAGCAACCUGUGCAUAGCCUCCAAGCUCUUAGAAGCACAACUAUCGAGCCGAAACGAUAGAAAAAUCCUUCCACAAGGUGACAACAAUAGCUCACUCAACUAUACCGGGAGAAACAUCCCGUACCACAUCUGUAGUGCCAUUACAAUUCUUCAAUUCUCGAUUUAGAACCAUCGCUUGAGGUCGCAUAAGAUUUAAUGGGAAGGAAAUGAAGGCAUAAGCCUCAAAGGAAUCAAACUGCACGAUGAGGAAUCAAGAAGGGAAGUGCUCCAAACAGUCUUGUAGCCUCUCAAAGAUAAGUACAGACGACUCCGUACCGAUACACAAGACUCUACUAGACUCGCUCAUGACUCGUGAGACCUAAGGGAACCUAGUGCUCUGAUACCAUGUUGUCACGACCCAAAAUCCACUAAGGGGCGUGCUGGCGCCGGACACCAUUGUCAGGCAAGCCAACAACAAAUAACUAGUAACUUCUCAUUUUAAAUAUUUUUGAAAUCAGUUCUUUUAUACGUUUAAACAAUACAUAAUAAGUUCUACUGAAUAAAUAAAGAAACAUUUAACAAUUUUGAAUUUUUGAAUAAACUCAUAAACAUCCCAGAACCCGGUGUCACAAGUGCAUGAGCAUUUACUAGGAAAUAAAAAAAAAACAGUAAUUGUCCGGUAUAUAAAUUGGACAGAAAUGAAAAUAUAGUACAAUACUCUAAAGGAGACUCUGCUUGCUGCGGGUCAUCUCGAUAAGUGUAGCUCACCUAAGUCUCAGUAUCAACCAUGUCGCUAUGCCACUAAGCCACUAGUCACUCAUAAACCUGUGCAACAAAAAUGCACAACAAGUGUAGUAUGAGUACGAAAACAACGUGUACACAGUAUGUAUCCCGUCUAAUCUCGAAGAAGUAGAGACGAGAGGUCAACUUCGAAUCUUACUAAUUGUCCAAUAAUGUUAUAUCAAUAAUAUAUUAAAUCGUAGAUUUUUAUAAACAUGAUUGUAAUUCAAUAGAAUGAAGAAAGUAAAUAAUUCUUUCUUUUAUAGGAAAUUUCCAAAUUCCUUUUUGUCAUUUAUACAUUUAUUCUCAAGUCGGGAAAGAACAACAUCACUUCAAUAAAUUCUAAGGCAAGCAAUACAAGCAUGCGCAAAUCAUUCCGAGGACGUACAACCCGAUCCGGCAAUAUUUAAACUGUGCACUGCCAGAGGGUCGAAUGGCGUGAACCAUAGAUGCAUCUAUUUAAUCUACCGAGGCGUUCGGCCUGUUCCACAAUAGAUAAACACACUCAAACAAUCAAAUCAAUAAUUCAUCAAGGAGCAAAUAUUCAGGAAAAGACAAAUUUCUCUUUUAAAAUUCAAGAAAUGAUAUCUAGCCUUUUUUCGAAAUUCAUUUACACGUUCGAUAUGUUUUAAGCAUUUUAAGUUUGUAAACAAGGUUGCAAGUAUUACAAGAAAGCAUGCUUUUGGGCCCUAAACUACUCGGCUAAAGCAUAAUAGUCACCUCGUGCAUACGUAACGCUCGCAAAUAGGAGCACAUAACCAAUUAACUCACCUAUGGGGACAACUCCCUCUUACAAGGUUAGAAAGGAGACUCACCUCGCUCCGAAAUUUCCAUAACCUGCUUCCAAGCCCUUCCAACAACUCCAAUUGAUGCACAAAGCCCCAAAACUAUUCAAACAAUAGUCAAACCAAUAAAAAUUCACCCUAAUACUUGUAACAAUUGAAAUUAUAUAAGUUCCCAACUCCACUCGAAAAGUUGACCAAAAUGCCCUUGGGCCCACGUGCCUGAAUUCCGAAAUUUCUUGAAGAUUAAUUCUACCCAUAGCUUUACUAACUCAAAUAUACAAUUUUCUCUAAUUUUCAUGCUCAAAUUCAAGGUAAAAGUCCAAAAUUCCAAAUUCUAGGUCUUCCCCAAAAAUUCCAAAUUUAUACUAAUUUUCCAUGUCUAAAUGCAUGUAAGAUCACAUAUUUAACUCAAAAUAGGAAGAAAUCACUUACCUAGUGUUUCUUGGUGAAAAUCCCUCCUUGAGCUCUUCAAAAUCGUCCAACCCAAAAGAAAGAAAUGAAAGAAAUGGGCCAAAACUCGUGUUUAAAACAAUCUGCCCAGGCUUCAUCGAUUUGUACCUUGCGCAGUGCAGGUUGUACAUCCUAUUAUAAUUUUCCCCUGUUGUAUACCUUCUGUUAAAAUUCCCAUAACUCCUUGUGGAAAUAUCCAAAUGAUAAACGGUUUGAAGAUUUAGAAAAUAGACUCGAAUAUCUUUCAUUUGGUAGGUUGCACACCAUAUAACUCUUUAUAUAUUCCGAGAUAUGAGCUUCUAAAAUCGACUCCAUACAUAAGAAAAUUCUGUCAAAAAUGCUCCACCAGUCAGUCUAGCCUUGGCUUUCAGCCCGCUAAACAAGCAGUUAACACAAGUAGUAGAGAGAGAGAAGAAAGAAUUUUAUGUGUGUGUGUGUGCGUGUUUUGAACUAAUUGUUCGUGGCUUGAGACUGUAGAAGAGAGUCAUUUAUAUAGUAGUUGAGAGCAGAGUAAAAUAAGGUAAAUAAUCAAUCAUCCAGUAAUUAGGGAAAAUUACAAAAUCCAUCAUGCACAAAAUCCGCAAGGUUCUCUUCUAGUAAAGAGGCGACCAAUUAAUGAUAAAGUGCAGGCCAUAUAAUUAAGGAAAUAAAAUUAAAUACUUAAGUACGGGGUGGGUAAUUAAGGGUAAAUGAACAAAAGUUCAAUUAAGGGAACAAUCAAUAAGAAUCAGCAAGUACCAUAGUUAAUCGUAAAUAAGGCAAGAAAUAAUCAAAGGUCGUAGAAAUAAGAAAAUAGCCGGAAAUUAGUACACAUGUAUUACCAUAGCAAAUCAGUGAAUAAGGAUUCAAAAUAAUACUAAUUUAGGGAAAAUGAUAUAGGUUUUCAAUGAAUAAGCAACUAAACCAAGUGUAAACGGAAAGAAUCGAAUCUGAUACCCUAAUAGAGGCAUACUAGGGUAAAAUCACAAGAUAUUCUAAUUAAACGAAGAAGUAAUCAUGUAAAUCAAAGCCUAGAACAUUGGCCUGUAUCGAAAUAACACGGACAAGUGCAGAAUCCAAACAAAGUGUCAAAUAUUGGGGGUUUUAGCAUAGGCUAGUUAGGGUUAAGGAAGAACUCAACAAAAUCAAUCAAAAAACAUAGACACAGGGGACUAAACACUUAAAACCAGAAAGCGUUUUGAAGAAAAGGAUUUUCAGAAACCCUAGUUUAGAAAAGAGCGACUAAAUUCAAAAUAGUUAGUUAAAAUGGGAGAUAUUAAAAGGAAAACGCUUAAUGAUACUCAAAUCACCUCAGAUCUAUAAAUAUCUAAGAAGAAUUGAACAGUAGCGAAUCUAGGGUUUUUUGGAAAAUAGUAGAGAUGAAGAAAAUCGGUUAAAAACUCAUGGAUUCAAAUGAAAAACAAGAGGAAAUCCCUUCUUACAAACGAAAAUGGCCGAAGACAGGCCAAUGAAUGAGUUUCAAACUGGAACAUGUUGGAUUUCCUUGAGAUCUUUUCAAGGACUCAUGAAGUCGAAGAGCCAUGGAGUAUAGGAGACCAGAGGUGGUCGAGGAAGGCACGGGAACACCAUAUGAAGGAGGUUCUCGCCGGUAAUGGUGAUUAGGGUCAGCGUGAGUUAAGAGAGAAUUUGGGAGAGGAGGGAUUCAGAGGCGGUGCAAAUGAGAGAAUGGGGUAGGGUUUGGGGGGUCGUUUGAUUAAAAAAGGAAAGGGCUACCGUGGACCGUUGAUCUCAGAGAUCAACGGCCAUGAUUAGAAGAGGUUCUAGGUCGGGCGGGUUAGAUGGGAAAUUGGGUUGGGGUUUUAAUUCAAUUACACUAGAAUUAAAAAAUGGAAUUGGCUAUUUGUUAAAUACCCAAUUAAAAUUAGAUAAAUAAUUAAUAAAACUAGCUAAUAAUUAGAUAAAAUAAAAUUAAAGCUAAAUAGGUAAAAUUAAGGUAAUUAACUAAUAUUUAAAAUAUAGAAUGACUUAUUACUGAAUUAAAAUAGCAUAAAGUAUAUAAUUAGCCUAUAAUUGCAAAAUUGUAGUAAUUAUAGCCAAACAAUGCCAAAUUGGUUAAUUUGUAAAAUAAUUAAAUCCUAAUAGGAAAAAAUAAUAUAUUGAGCUAAGAAAUACUUUGAAAUUACUUGUAAUUCAAUUCAUGAAUAAUUAUUGGAUAUAAAGUACUUAAUAAAUUAGAAAAUAAAUUGAUAAUAAUAUGGAAAAUUAUGGAAAAAUACCAAUUAUUAUAAAAAGUGAUUUCGAAGGUAUAUAUGCAAAUUUAAAAAUAGUUUGAGGAAAAAUUGGGUAUCAACACCUCCUGGACCAUAGGUAUGAGACGAGUAGUGCACGCAUAAGGUAUGACUUAGAAUUGAUUUAAAGCGCAUUUAGGAAAACAAUUUUAACAUAGUAAUCGGGUGGCAGGAGAUGAUUGUUUGUGCCCAUUGAAUAAUAUGAGUAAUUACCUACCUCAAGGAAGUUGCAAAGUAUUAUUUAUGUUGCACGGGGUGAAACUUUAGGCUAAAAAGGUUAGGACCCCCUUGCCUCUCUUCUUAAUACAUCUACUCAUUUAAUAUAGACCGUUGUAGUUAUAUCCUUGUAAUCCUUAUUUGUGUUAUAAUAAAUUUAUUUGACCCUUACUCUCUUUAUUUAUCUUGCCUAAUUAUAAUCCACAUAGUCUUAAGUUUUGUCGGGACCUAAAGUUGUGGACCUCGAAGAGUGCUUAACACCUUCUCUUUGAGGUAAUUUGAGCCCUCACCCGAUCUUUGGUGGCGUUGACUAGUCCAAUAGAGUUAUUUGCAUAAUAGGGGCCCUAACGCACCUCAAAAAUUGUUAGGUGGUGACUCUUCUUCUUUUAACACCCUAUCCCCCAUCCAAAAGAGUUGUCACAAUGUCGAAACCCACUUUCACGAGAAAACGGGGUGCGACAGCAUGUCGACUCCGCUGGGGAUUUUACACCUAGGCUCUUAUCAUAAUGAACUUGACUUAUGUGGAUUAUUUUCUUUGUUAUAAAAUGCCCAUCCCUUCCGUUCUCCACCUUUAUUUGUUUAAAUUUGUUAACAUGCACAUCCCUUCCCCGUUCACCAUUAUUUUCUAUGAUUGCUCUUUAUUUUGUUUAAAGAAUGCUAUAUCAUGCUUUUGCCAUCCCUACUCCCUUAUUUUCUUUAUUACAUUCUCGCAUAUAUUCCACGAAUCAACAUCUUCCUUUGUCUUUCUUUUUAAUUUUUUCAUGUUGUACCUUAACACUAUAUUUACUACUCUUACAUAUUUAUCAUGUAAAUACUUGGCAAUCUGUUCUUACCUCUGCAUAAAGCAUUCUCCACAUCAUACUCCAUGGGUGACAAUUAUCAACAUAGUAGCGCUUGAUGAGUUUGGGCGCUCUUCAAAAAUUAUCCUUUUUAAAUUGGAAAGGCUUAUUUGCGGUAGACUAGCCGAUCAACGGUGCAAUCGACGGUCCCUUCCCUCUCAAGUUGUCCGCUUGAGAGUACCGGUUCAGACCAUUCUAGAGACCUUACUCCAAUAUCAAAUGUCUGUGCAUCAUGUUGAACCUAGUACGGGCUAGAACAUUGUUAAUGUGAUAGCCUACUAAGAUAAGCCUUGUCCAAAUUUCGACGGAAUUUUCACAAUCCCAAUGGACACCACCAUGUUAUGUGCAUUGCUCGGAGAAAAUAUAGCAAUAUGUUGAUCAUUAUUGUUAAAUGGUCGAAUCUGGAGGGGGAAAUGUCUAACCUUGAUUGUUUGUAGAAAAUGAAGAACGAAUUCCCCAGGUUUGGCAUGGUCCAAAAUAUCCCACCUCUACUACUUGAUUGGUGGAAAAAUCUUGCGCCUAGCGACAAGAUUCACGUGAGAAGGUUCCUUGUUAAUUUUCCUUCUUUGCUAGACAUCCGACAAAAUAGGGCAUUAAUCGAGGCUGCUACUGUGUUUUAGGAUGAGAAAAGGGUCAUCUUCCGUUUUGGUGACAUAGAAAUGACUCCUAUCCUAGAAGAAAUAGGAGGCUUCGCUAAGCGGCCAUGGGAUAGUCCAGGGUUAUUAGUGCCAGAUAAUUGCACCCAUUGCGGUUUUCUAAAAAUGCUAGGUUUCAAGAAAAAUGAUGAGUGGAUUUGUUUGAAGAAGUCAUACAUCCCAUUUGAAUUCUUUUAUGAGUGUUACGGGCACAGUAUGCCAUAUCAUCUUCAUCAUGAGUAACUCGCCAUUACUUCUUUGGGUUGGACGCACUGUCGAGUUUAUGUGUUUAUCAUCUUCUUCUUGGGGUUGUUGAUAUUCCAAAUGAAAGGGGGAAGGAUUCAUACUCGCCUAGCCAUGGUCGCCAGAACAUUGAUGGAAGGCAUCGAGGGACAAACUUAUACCAUCAUCCCCAUGAUCUUAGCUGAAAUGUACCAUGCUCUAGAUCGGUACAAACAAGGAUUCGGGCACUUCGAAGGUUGUAAUUUGUUAUUGCAAGUCUGGUUAUUGGAAAAUUUUCAGAGGGAAGAAUAUUACCAAGAGCUUCUGCAGUGGCCGUUGAACGACUACAUAGCUUACCAUCACCCAAAGAAAAUGACAUUUACCCCCAGACAGGUUUGCACAACCUUGAAAUGCUAUGAGUUGGGUGUGUUUCUUCAGCAAUCUGACACACGAUCAGGUACAUUAGAUGUUUGAAUGGUUUCCUAGCAGUGAGUUCAACAUCAGGUCAAGAGAUACUAAUUAUCUGGUACUGAUCGAGUUGAGGGGUAUCUAUCCUUAUGCUCCCAUAAAGGUAAUAAUACAAGCGGGAAGAAAAUAGGUUAUACCUCGGGUUUCCAACAUGGGCCAGUACAUAGCAAAUUUUAAAGGGACGUCAUUCCAUUCAAGUUCGAGACACAACAUAUGUGGAAUCAGAAGGUCAUUAUGGAAAAUGAUACUAUAGAGCCAGACAUGUAUCAUGCUGGUCAUGUGUACCUCUAUCUAUCACGACUGGUAGACGAUAUAGUAGGAGCCGUCAAGCCGGAAAUUAAUCUAAAAACAGGAUCAUAGAUGACGUUGUUGAAGCACAGGUCAGCAUUGGAGGUUACGCAAAAGGGUUUUCGAGUCCAAAGCUAGACAUCUGGAACAACAUAAAGUGGAUAUGGAAGCAAUCAAUGAAUGGAGGGAAAUUGACACUAAGUCCACAAAGAGAUAGGAAUAUUUGGAGCAAGGGUUGAUGGAACUUGAGGGAGAGAUGAGGAAGAGGUUUUCCGAUUGUCAGAACACGGAUGGAAAGGACGGAGGGCAUCUAUCAAAGGCUUACCUAUUGUUAGAUAUGCACGAACUGGGGAACCUGAUUGAUGGAGUCAAGAGAGCCAAGCACGGGAAAGGUCCUUCUGGGACCAAAUAGAUUAGGAAAUAAUGUUCUUUAUUGCCUUGUAGCUUAGUUUCAGAUUUCAAUUGUAAUAAGGCUAAAUGUCAUUAGUAACUUUCUUAUUAUUGUCGAUUUAGUAAGGAUUUGAUUCGUUUUUGCAUUAAUGAAUGACGCAAUUAUUGGCAUCAAUUUUCUCCAAGUCUAUGUGUCGCUUAGGCAUACCUCAGUCACAAUGAGGUCCCCCAAAUUAGGACGCGAUUUAUUAUGUGAUAUUUCAAAAUAUAUUUGAUAUUGCGAGCAUUCUUUCAAUAUCCUUACUGACUUGGUUACCUUUGUUUGUUUUUCUUUCCUUUGAUUACUCCCACUCCCUGAGGUUGGAUCGAUCAUACUGGCAUCAUCCACAUAUCACACAAGAUCCAGAGGUCCUCCACCUCCUCCUCUACCAAGUCAUCCUAAAGGCAGAAGCAUGGGGAAAGGAAAAAUUGAUGAUUUAAGUGGUAUCAGAAAAGACAACGCUACUAUGGCAGAAAAUACUGAAACUUCAGAUGGUCAAAGUACCCCAGCACAAAACGAAUUGGUCUUACACCUGGAAUAGAAAAUACUAGAGCUACAAGGAGAACUUGAGCAGGUUCGGAACUUGUCAAACCUUUCCCUCACCCUAAACUUCCCUGAUAUCAACUAAUAAAAUCGAAACUCCCAAAACUCGGCACCUCCCCAAAACAUACAGAACAAAAAUCCACCGUUGAAUCCUCCCGCACCACAUCAAUACACCACACCUCCUUAGAACCAUAACCCUCCACCGGUACCUAUUCCUCAACAACACCAUCAUCAUCUAAUAUAGAACCCACAAACCACCACACACUCAUCAUAAUGCACCACAACCUACUCCUAAUCCCCAAAUCUCAACUAAUGACUCCUCUUAUGCCCAGAUAUCGGAGUUCAUCAAAACAAUCCCAUAUAUGUGGAAACUUUACCCCACACCCCACAACAAACCCUAUAUAUAUCGGAAUCAACCGAGAAGGACCUGCUCAUCAAGAACAUGGCGAAAGAACUCAAAAAGCUCACUGGCAGAGUUUAGAGUGUUGAAUGUGGUAAGGUCAUUGAAGGUUUGAAUUAUGAAGACUUGUGGAUUCAACCAGAUGUGAAAUUGCCGAAGGGUUAUAAACCUCCCAAGUUUGAAAUGUUCGAUAGAACUGGUGAUCCAAAGGUGCAUUUAAGGACAUAUUGUGACAAACUUGUAGGAGUGGGCAAAAAUGAACCAAUCCGUAUGAAGUUGUUCAUGAGAAUCCUCACAAGAGAUGCUUUGUCUUGGUACAUCAGUAAGAACCCUAAGAAGAGGGUUAAUUGGGUGAGCAUGGCGUCAGAUUUCACGGAUAGAUUCCGCUUCAACAUAGAAAAUACACCAAACGUUUUGUACAUUUACAAUCUCAAGAAGAAAUCAACAGAAACAUUAUGCGAGUAUGCUACUAGGUGGAGAUCUGAAGCUGUAAAGGUAAGGCCAGCGCUUGAAAAGAACAAAUAAACAAGUUCUUCGUCAGAGCUUAACAUCCGCAAUACUUUGAAAGGCUGAUGGUUAUUGAAAACAAUAAAUUUUCUAACAUCAUCAAGCUAGGAGAAAGAAUAGAAGACGGAAUUAAGAGUGGAAUGGUGACGAAUUUUAAAGCACUGCAGUCGAUAAAUAAUGCCUUGCAAUCAGGAGCUAUUUCGAAGAAGAAAGAGGUAGCUUCUGUGAUGGUAGCCCAAGGCCCAAAGUCUCCUCUCACAUACCAAACACCUCCAACCACAGACCGGCCUUCACCCCCAGAUACCAAUAACCUACUACUACCUACCAUGCCGAUAACACCCAACCCACCUAUUAUCACCCACCACCACCCGCCUACCAAAAUUACCAAAAACCAAGACCAAAUUUCGACCACAGACCACCCUGAGAAUACACUCUAAUUGUUGAACCCAUAGACCAACUGUAUGAGAGACUGAAGGUUGCUGGAUAUGUCACUCUCAAUCCUGUCGUAGCUAUGGAAAAUUCUUCUUAGUAGAUUAAUCCAAAUAAGACAUAUGCCUAUCACUCAGGCAUGAAGGGUCAUACCAUUGAUAAGUGUCACACACUGAAAGAAAAAAUCCAGAUGUUAAUUGACACUAAGGUCAUUCAGGCAAAAGAGGUUGCACCCAAUGUUCGUAACAAUCCUCUCCCGGACCACAAAGGUGAGGGAGUGAACAUGAUAGAGACCGACGAGGAAUGGGAUCCAGAGGGGUCAAUUGGUCUCAUUAGAGAAGGGGAUGAUCCUAAAAUAUUUUCAAGCAUCCUCACGCACGUUGUGAUAUAAACCCAAGCACCGCUUGAAGUUGAGGUAACUGCACCAUCACUGUUUGAAAUCGAGGUAACCAAACCUUCACUGUGAUGGUAGCACCUAUGCCAUCAUACAAGUCUGAUGUUAUGCCAUGGGAUUAUGUUGCGUAAGCAAGGAGGAAAUGAAAAGUAAAAAUAGAAGAAACAGGUGUCGUACAAGGUAUGACUAGAACUGGCAAGGUUUAUAUACCUGAGAACUUAGGAGGAACGAGCAAGGAAGAGCAUCUAAGCUUUGGUUGCGUUCUGGGACAACAUGACGAGGCUGGAAGAAAGGAGCAGGCAAUAUAUUAUCUAAGUAAGAAUUUCACACCUUACGAGGCCUAAUACUUUUUGCUGAAGCACACCUGCUACGCUUUGAUAUGGAUAGCUCAAAAAUUGAGGCAUUAUUUCUGCGCCUGCACCAUAUAUCUCAUAUCAAGGAUGGACCCGCUGAAAUACAUCUUCCAGAAACUCACGCCUACAGGAAAGUUAGCAAAAUGGUAGAUACUGUUGAGUGAGUUAGACAUCAUCUAUGUAACUCAGAAGGUGGUCAAAGGGAAAGCGUUGGCAGAUCAUUUGGCAAAAAAAACUGUAGAUGGAGAAUACGACCCAUUGAAUACAUAUUUUCUAGAUGAGGAAGUAUCGUUUGUAGGAGAAGAUAUUACCAAGGCAUAUGACAGUUGGAGAAUGUUCUUCAACAGAGCUUCAAACUUCAAAGGAGUGGGUAUCAGAGUUGUCUUAGUAUCAGAAACUGGCCAACACUAUCUAGUAUCUACAAAACUCAAGUUUCCAUGUACCAACAAUAUGGCAGAAUAUGAGGCUUGCCUCUUAGGACUCAGGUUGGCCAUUGACAUGAAUGUUCAAGCGUUGCUGGUAAUUGGAGAUUCCGAUCUUUUAGUGCAUCAGGUUUUAGGAGAAUGGGCUACCAAGAACACCAAAAUAUUACCGUAUAUGUACUAUGCACAAGAUUUGAUCAAGAGGUUCAUGAAGAUAGAGUCAAAUAUGUUUCGAGGAUUCAGAAUGAGUUCGUAGAUGCAUUGGCCAUUUUAUCUUCCAUGAUAAAACACCUAGACAAGAAUUUCAUCGAUCUUAUCCCAAUUUGAAUUCAUAAACAACCGGCUUAUUGUGCUCAUGUUGAAGAAUAAAGGGACAGAAGUCUCUGGUUCCACGACAUCAAAGAAUACUUGGAAAAGGAAGAGAAUCAGGAACAUGCAACUCAUACUCAGAAGCGCACACUCCAAAGGUUAGCCAACAAUUUCUUUCAAAGCGGAGGAAUUCUGUACAGAAGGACUCCAGACCUGGAUUAUUACGAUGUGUCAACACCAAGGAAGCAUCAAGAUUGCUCGAGGAAAUACAUGCCGGAACUUGUGGACCGCACAUGAAUGGCUUUGUCUUAGCCAAAAAAAAUACUAAGAGCAUGGUAUUUCUGGAUGACUAUGGAAACAGACAACAUCAAGUAUGUUCAGAUGUGCCACCAAUGCUAGAUACAUGUUGAUAUGAUACGAGUACCACCCAAUGAACUCAAUGUAACAAGUGCACCCUGGCCUUUCUCCGCUUGGGGCAUGAAAGUCAUCGGUCCAAUCGAACCUGCUGCUUCAAAUGGUCAUAGGUUCAUUCUAGUGGCCAUAGACUAUUUCACAAAGUGGAUUGAGGUCGCAUCUUACAAAGUUGUUCUAAGAAGUUUGUCGCAGAUUUUGUUUGGGAUCGCAUUAUUUGUCGGUUCGGAGUACCAAAGUCAAUCAUCACCGACAACGCCGCCAAUCUCAACAGUAAUCUAAUGAAGGCCAUGUGUGAAAUUUUCAAGAUCAAGCCUAAUAAUUCCACAACAUACAGGCUGUAAAUGAACAGAGUUGUAGAAGCUGCCAACAAAAACAUCAAGAAGAUACUAAAGAAAAUUGUAGAUAACAACAAACAAUGGAACGAGAAGCUGCCAUUUUCUUUACUCGGGUAUUGUACCACGGUUCACACAUCAACUAGGGCAACUCCGUACCUACUAGUUUAUGGAACUUAAGUUGUUAUUCCUGUCGAAGUAAAAAUCCAUUCUCUAAGAAUCAUAUAAGAAGCUGAGCUCAGCAAUGCAGAAUGGGUUAAGAGUCGCUACGAACAACUAGAUCACAUUGACAAGAAAAGAAUGAAUGCAGUAUGCCAUGGUCAACUCUACCAGAACAGAAUGGCAAGAGCUUUCAACAAAAAGGUCAGACCAAGGCAAUUCACACUGGGGCAUCUAGUGCUAAAGCGGAUAUUCCCAUAUCAGGAUGAAGCCAAGGGGAAGUUCUUACCAAAUUGGCAAGGUCCCUACAUGGUUCAUCGAGUACUAAGAGGAGGAGCACUCAUACUCACACAAAUGGACGGAAAAAUUUGGCCAAAACAUAUCAACUCAGACGUCGUCAAGAGAUACUAUGCUUAGGAUUUUUUACAUUUCUUCACUUGAUGUAACUGAACUACACUUGACCUAUUUCCCAUUUAAUAUGGGAUACGUAGGUAGCCCUGUGGGUUCGGUCACAUCUUAAUAAAAUAUUCAUUUUUUCCCGUGAACAGAAAUUGAGGCAAGAUUGUAAGUUCAGUCAAUUUUGUCAUAUGCAAAACAACCAAAAGUAUUGUCAGAAGUAUUGCAUUUAAACUAGGGAAGACUUUUGAGUGGGGCCAUCAAAAUGCUAAGGCAAGGAGGGCGCAAUGUCUCUAAAUGUGUCAUAGUCACUAGUUCGUCUAAAUUAUUUGAUAUCACAUACUACUACAUUUCAAAUAACUAUAUUUAUCAAAUGCAUGCAUAUUUAUUGAAACUUUGUUUCUAUGACAGCUAGAUGUUGCCCAGGGUAACUCAAAUAGAUCAAGACAGGAGCAAAGACAAAGCAAGAAGACAAAAGCACGAACCUACCUUGCCACCACAAAAUUCACAAUUUUUCUUUGAAUGCAGGCACGAUCACAUCAAGUCACUACCUUCAUGACAACAAGUUACCGAACGCAAACAUUUCUAGCUAAGAAAUACUUCACUUCCUCAUUGUCACUCAUCGUUUUUUCUUGCAUUAGGCUAAGUACUGCCUUUCCCUGCACAAGACUAAGCAUUGUCUUCACUUUUGGCAUAAGGCUAAGCAUUGCCUUUUCCUAGCAUAAGAUUAAAUACUGUCUCCACUACACUACCUAAAACCUAGCACUAUCCCUAUGUUCACCUAGGGCUAAGCGUUGCCCUCAUCUUACACAAGACUAAGCCUUGUCUUGUCUCAUCUUUGCAUAUGACCAAGCAUCUUAUCUUUGCAUUUCAUAGGCUAAAACAUCGCCAUCUUCUCCAACGGCCCCAUAGUACAAAGGCAUCAUCCUCAUAGCCGGGAGACACAAUGCCAAGGCCCGAGGAUCUCUCAAUAUUGCACAUUAUUAUUCAAAGGCGUCAUCGUCCGGAGGCACCAUCCUCACGGCUCGAGGAUAUCCUUUCAUGACAUGUGAAUCCCUUAUCAUACGCUUCAUGGCCCAGGACGUCAUGAUCUAAGACAUCAUCUUCAUCGUCCAAAGACCAACCUUCAUUGUCCAAAGGAAAUUUGCAUCAUAUUUUAAAUAUUAGCAAUAACCCAUAUAUUUAUUCGCAUGCAUCGUGUUUUAAGUUUUGCAGGUAAUCCAGAAGUAAUCAUUCUACAAAUGGGAGAAAUUUGCGCUCUGCUUUCGUUCACAACGUUCACAUCCUUCGGUUGUUUCAAACGUAACUGACUACCAAUACUUGCCUACCUUUUACUCUAUGACCGCUCAGAUAUCUGCUUUAUGAUACAUCCAUAACGUUUCAAAUUCACAUUCAUGACUUCGCAUAAAUUCAUCCGACACUAUCCUACCCAAAAUAAUCCUCUCUGAAACAUGUGACCGUUCCUAUAACAACUCCAUCGGUUUCAUUCACCAUUGUCCAGAACUACACACGGCCUGAUUCCCGUAGUACCAAAGAUAUGUAGGCAACUCAGAAAAUAGGUUUCGGCCUCUAAUUUUGUUUUCAAAUCACAUCAAUCCUCACUCAAUUCAGUAAAAAUUGGUCAUCAUUUUCUUUACCCGACAACUCUUUCAUCAUUCUCGGGUAAAGAGGGUCAGUUGUUGAUACCCAAUUUUUCCCUCAUAUUUUCUCAAAUUGUAUAUAUACUUCCAAAACAUUAUUUUUACAAUACUAUUUAGUUUAGAAAAUCUAUACAAGCAUUAUCUAUAAUUUUCCAUAAUUUUUUAAUUUUUAAAAUUGAUUUUCUUGCAUUUAAAAUACUUGAAUAUUUAUUAAUUACUCCUUCAAAUUAUUUUGUGAUGACUUAAUUACCUAAAAUUAUUAUAUGCACCUAUAAUAUAUUUUUUAAAUAUUUUUAUUUUAUUUUAUAUAAUUACAUUAAUAUUUUUAAGCUAUUUGCGCAAUUUGGCUGUAAUAGCCUAUAUUCAUACAUACAUGCUCUUUAUUUAUAUUAUUUGUGUCAAAAUAGUAAUUUAUAUUUUUAUAAUCUUAAAUUAUUAUUGAUAAUAAUUUUAGUGCAUAAAUAAUAUUUUUAUUUAUUUAUUAAGCAUUUUUAUAAAUUAUUUUUUGACAAAUUGUGUGUAUUUAAAUAGCAACCCAGUUUUAACCAAUUUUUGGACCAACAAUUAGCCCAAUAACGCCAAGCCCAAACCAAAACCCUUCUACCCAACUAAGAUGGUACCCGUUUCAAACGACCCGCCCCACUUAUCCCUUAAUCUCGACCGUUGAUCUUUCAAGAUCAACGGUGUACAAUUAUCCAACACUUUUAAUUACCCUAGACCUAAAACCCUAACCCGUCGCCCCUAAAAUCUCCCAAUCUCCCCUUCUCUCUUGUGAAGAACCCUAGCCGCCUCCCCUUAAUUCCCUCUUUGAAUACAACAAAUAAUAGGAUUCGACCACUAUUUGCUUACCAUAUCUGGAUCAUUUUGGUACUGGUUACGCGGUUUUGGUAUUACUUAUGUAUUUGCCUAAUUUUGGAAAAUACCACCUCUAUAUCGGACAAGAAUCAACUCAAUCUUGAAGAUAUGGAUGAUAUCCCAUCCAUAUACACAAAGUGAAAUUGUAUUCUUUAUACCAGUUGGCCAGUUUUGAGUUUAAAACCCUAACUAGGGUUUGUAGUUUGAUACUUUUCCUUUCCUGUUACUCUACAGACUUGCAUGCAAGAUUUUACCCUUUUUCGUCCAAAUUUACUUGAUUUCUCUCCUUAUGUAUGUUUAAUCGGUUGUUUUCCUUAUUUGUUCAUUCAAUUUCAACACUAUACCCCCUAUUCUUCUUAUGGAGAGACCUUUUAACCAUCCAGAUACACUAAAAUUUUUGGCUACUAUUCUGGUAUUUUUUCAUUCUUUUGUUCUGUACUUUGGUUCUUGGCCGGCUGAAAACCAAGGCCACUAAAUUCGAUUCUUCAACCUUUCUUGGUGCGAGCACUGCCCGGGGUUCAUUUGAAGCCCUUGGAAACUCUGACGCACUACGAUUAUGGACUCUUGGCUUGUUGUUGAUGCUCAGAGUACUGUGGAAUUUGUUCUUUCUUAUUGUCUGUUUAACAGGUAAGUCUCUUGGCUUUAUGAUUUUAUUCGUUUGUGUUUAGGUCAUGCAUAUUUACACCUCUGAAAUUUCAUGACUUAAUAUGUUUCUGGGCUAUCUCUGUGUGCAACCUCGUUAGCAUUGAACUUGUUUUGUAAUUUGAACAUCCCCUAGCAGUUGAUUUUACCUAAUGCUUCCAGUUCUGAGACAUGUUUAUGCCUAAUUUGAAUAAUUUCGACUCUCUUAAGUUUGUUUAGCUAAUAGUUUGUGCCUGAAUGUUCACAUUUGCUGCUGGGCAUGUGUCGCGCCCCAUUGUUUUCGCGAAAUCGGGUUUAUGACAUUUGGAAGGACAACUCAUUUCUUUUGGGCAUUGGGUUUGCAUUUUUUGAAGAGUUUCCACCUAAUGAUUAGGGUGCAUUAGGACACUAAAAGAGUUUGAUUUGAAUAACCAGAGAUAGGGUAAGGGCUUGAAAUUAUUCUAAGGGGAAGGUGUUAGGCACCUCUCAGAAUCCACUAGUAUGGUUUCCGGCUAGACAAUUAUUGUGAAUUAAGGUGCAAUUAACAAAUAAGGCUCAAAUAAGAAGGGAUUUCAAUGCAUGAUGUUUGAAAGUAAACAAAGUUUGAAAGAACAAUUAGAAAAAGAUGAUUUUUUUAAAUAAGGAGUUAAAAUGCUGAAAGAAAUUAAUAAUAAAGGGAAAAGGGGGAGGGGUCCUAGGUUUAUUAAAAUAUGGAUCACCCUACACAAUGUCCGGUAAUCACUCCUCAAUGAGGGGCUACACGUGAUAUUAUUGCGUGGUCAUCAUAUCCAUAUAUACCCUUCCCACCCUGUUAAGGUAUUUAAAGCGCAGAUUGGUCUCGAUUACUUAUUGCAUGCUAUUACCCAUCCUACUCCUAUCAGUCCUAGAGGCACUUAGGACUACUAAUCCUAAGAAGGGAGGGAUAUAAGGCUUACUUGAAGUUUCAAAAGUAAAAAUUCUAAGGCGACAUACAAAACACAUAUUGCACAUUUUGGGGAUAGCAUAUAAACAAACAACGGCUCAGAUAUACCUUCUUAAACAAAGAAAGCAUAUAAUUAGCAUGACUUGGACAUACUUUUUAGGUCUGAUUUAAAAUACCAAAGACGAGGAAGUUUAAAUAUUGAGGAAGAUUGGUUUAUUUCAUAACUUAGAUAGAAAGUCCAAAUCAGGCCUGCCUGCUGGUUGUAAUGAUUAAGAGAGGCUGACUCAGUUUAUAGGUAUUACUUUAGGGCUUGCCUAAGUGUUCAGACAAGGAUCCUACAGGCAUGGUAUCUACUGAAUUCAGAAGGUGAUAAGAUAGUAAAACAUCAAAAUGAAUGAUUUGAAAUCCUAUAUGCAUACUUAUUCAGCGAGGGACUCGAAUUAUUAAAAGAAAUGCAGAGCGUACAAAGUUAAAUAAAUCGGUUAUAGAUUCUGCAGGUGAUAGCAUCCAAUAUUACUGAUUUCAUAUCUAACAUUGAGUGAAGCAAAUCAGAUUUAUUUAGAAACUCCUAUAGGCAUGCUUUCUAUACAUUGCUGAUUUUAAAACCUUAUAGACAUGGUGUCAAAAUGCAGAAAACCUUAUAGGUAUGGUAUCUAAAUGCAGAAAUCCUAUAGGCAUGGCAUCUAAAUACAGAAACUUGUUUUAAACCUAUAGACAUAGUAUCUAAAUGCAGAGAUUUGUUUUAAACCUAUAGACAUAGUGUCUAGAUGCAGUUUGCAUUACACAUAAUUGAAAUAGUCCUAUAAGCAUGAUUUCUAAAUAUGAUGGAAUGUGCAGAAUUAAAAUAGUACUAUAAACAUGAUUUCUACAUGUGAUUGAAUGUGCAGAAUUAAAACAGUACUAUAGGCAUAAUUUCUACCUUUGGCGUGUACAAAUACCCACCCUCUUUUACUAGCCAUCACCAAAUGUUCAUUACAAAUUAUUACAAACCAGGAAUAAAUUACAUUAAAAAUACAAAGAAAAGUACAACCAGAGGAGGCCUAAUUCCUGACUUCCUCUCUGAGUUAUGAAAUAGAACAAAAUUAUUACAAACCAGGAAUAAAUUACAUUAAGAAUACAAAGAAAAGUACAACCAGAGGAGGCCUAAUUCCUGACUUCCUCUCUGAGUUAUGAAAUAGAACAACUCAAAGACCAUUGAUCCAAAGCCUUUCUCCAAUUUGAGUGUGUCAAAGUUCCCUAAGAGCCUCAAUAGGACUCCGGGCAGUGCUCACACCCAAAUUGUAUUACCAAAAUAGGGACAAGUGCAGUGUGAAAGUGCCAGCCCUCAAGUGUCCAAGUUCAGGGGGAGCUCAUGGGUCCAAGGCAAGGCUCAUAAGAGGGUGGCAGAACUUAAGUCUAAGAGAGAGUGCAAGUAAAGGAAUAUAGUUUAAGAACUAAGAAAGUAAUGAAAAGGGCAAGAGGUGUUGGGAAACAGUUACGGGAUUGAGGAUUUCACACAAAGGGGUUCAGGGAUUGGGAGAUUACAAAGAGCCUAUGUAAUUAGGCAUUAGUUAAUCUUGGGCAUGCACAACAAUAAGGAGUGCUUUUAUGCUUGCAAAAUCAACAAGAAUACACAACACAUAAUGGUAAUAUAAAGGUUAUGAUCACAGGGGGAUCAAGUUUGAGUCAUAGGCACCAAUACUUAAUAGUGUCAUGCCUCAAACAACCAUCAGUAUCAAACAUAUUGGGAUAGGUCUUUGGGAUACUUAAUACAUAGAUUCAGAAUAGGAAGAAAGAAAUUAUAGCGUGCUAGAAUAAAGUACUGAAUUAAACAUAAGCAUAAGGCAGACAAGAAGGCAUAAGUAUUAAGUAAACAUAUUGUUGUGAUACUGAAUCUUAAUCAGAACAUACCAGUUCAAAGAAACAAAAGUAGUAAAGAAAGGUAGCAAAAGUUGAUAUGUAGUUUUGGCUUUCAGCCAGCUAAAUAGGCCACAGUAGAAGUAGUAAAGCAAGAGAGAGAAUGUUUUGAGUGAUUUUAGAACUGAGAGUGUUCGUGUGUGUUUGUGUUAAUGACAGAGCAGGGUAUUUAUAGUUUGAAAACAGGUAGGAAAUAAGGCAAGAAUCAUAGUUCAGCAAUAAUUAUGGAACUAUGUACUAAUUAAAACUAAAUCAGUAUAAGUACUUCCUUCAAUCAAGGAGUUAAAAUUAAACUGUAACAUGCAAAUACAAAAUAAGGAAAGAAAUCACAUAAGGCUGAAUAUGACUAAUAAGGAAGUAUCUUCAGCAUAGUACAAGUACACAAUAGGUAAUAGAGACUAGGUUCAUCAGAUUCUAAUCAAGGAAAGGUUGGUAGGAAUUAAAUACCAAUGUAACCAAGGUAAGGGAAUUAAUCAAAUUGAAUAGAAAAGGUAGGAAUCGAAGGUUCACAGGAAAGUGUUCGAUAUUGGACCAAGAAACAGGGAAAUUAGUAAAACAAGGAAAGAAUCAAUUACUUAACACACGAGUGCAGUCAGAAUUACAUAAGGAGGUUUGAAAUCAGUCCACAAUUGAAGGUCAUUUCAUAGGGAAAUUCGGCAUAUAAAAGAGUGCAUAAACAUUAGGCACGCAAGGCUAAACGUAUGACAAAGAGAAGUGUUAUGCAAUCACAAAGUCAGUAAGUAGUGGACUAUCGAAACAUGGUAGUCACAUAGGUCAAUUUCAGUAACUUAGUAAUAGAGAAAAGAGAGAGUAUCAGAUAGCAUGCAAAGGGGUCAAGUGAAAAGACCUUAUAGUAGAGUUUCAAUGGUAGCAGGAAGUCAAAAAGCACAAAGAAAUAGAGGCUGAAACAAAAGAUUUCGAAAUUUAGUCGAGCAACAGAUGAAGCAACUUUAGAAACUCGAAUAGGUCCAAAGAAAUUAGGGUUAUGAAACAAGUCAAAUUCAGAGCAUGACUAGCAAGUAAAUCACAUAGCAAAUAGUUUCUAAAGUCAAAUGAACCCCAAAUUUUAGGGUUUUCACCAUUAAUCGAGUAUAGAGAUGAAAAACAAGUAAAUCAGGCAAAGAUACUAACAAAAUAAAUUCAAAAUUCUCAAAAGGCUAAGGCCCUUAACAUGCAUACUCAAGUAAAAGAACGACAUAAGGAAACACUGUAGAACAUGUUGAAAAUCAGAGAAAGCUUCAAAAAUAACUUAACAAAACCUAAAUCGGAAAAGAUAAGGGGUUUUGAAGGUAAAGUUUUGGAAAGAAACCUUGAGAAAAUGUUUAGAAGUUUAGAGUAAACACAGAUCUAGAACAGAUCUAAAAGAAUCGGCAAAACCUCAAAGGUUUGGGUUUCAGAAGAACCCCAGAUGGUGAGAAAGGCUUUGAAAUCAUCGAUCUAAGCAGGAGCGGCCAAGAGUCAAGCUUGAAUAGCCAUUGCUGGCCGAAGCAAGGUCAAAGAUGACCGGAGACAACCAUAGAACUAAAAUCAUCCGAGGUCUGGACCCAACAUCUUCAGGGUUUGGCCUUGAAAAAAUGGUACUCGAACACAUAGAAGCCAAGGGAGGUGGAUAUAGGCCUCUAAUGGCUUUGGAAGCCAUGGAUUUGGGAGAUUUACAAGUGGUGGUUGAAGGCGGCGGCUAGGGUUUGAGAGGGGAUUGAGAGAGAAUUGGGAGCGGGUUAGUUCAGGUUAAAAAUGAUUAGGU
RNAcentral lists this long non-coding RNA (22552 nucleotides) under Nicotiana tabacum (common tobacco). RNAcentral describes it as "long non-coding RNA (NTAB_LNC015507)". The record is from RNAcentral. Lineage: Eukaryota; Viridiplantae; Streptophyta; Magnoliopsida; Solanales; Solanaceae.